Molecule: ribosomal RNA, 386 nt
Filed under: uncultured SAR324 cluster bacterium
Lineage: Bacteria; Deltaproteobacteria
Description: bacterial SSU rRNA
Rfam family: Bacterial small subunit ribosomal RNA
Source: RNAcentral
ACAAUCUGCCCUUCAGUCCGGGACAACUUUCCGAAAGGGGAGCUAAUACCGGAUAACAAUGUUUGACAUAAGUUGAAUAUUUGAAAGCUCCGGUGCUGAUGGAUGAGUCUGCGUCCCAUUAGCUUGUUGGUGCGGUAGUGGCGCACCAAGGCCGCGAUGGGUAGCGGGUUUGAGAGGACGAUCCGCCACACUGGAACUGAGACACGGUCCAGACUCCUACGGGAGGCAGCAGUGGGGAAUAUUGCACAAUGGAGGAAACUCUGAUGCAGCAAUGCCGCGUGAGUGAAGAAGGCCCUUGGGUCGUAAAGCUCUUUUAUGGGGGAAGAUGAUGACGGUACCCCAAGAAUAAGCACCGGCUAACUACGUGCCAGCAGCCGCGGUAAUAC